Molecule: ribosomal RNA, 156 nt
Filed under: uncultured bacterium
Lineage: Bacteria
Description: partial 16S ribosomal RNA
Rfam family: Bacterial small subunit ribosomal RNA
Source: RNAcentral
UGGGGAAUAUUGGUCAAUGGAGGCAACUCUGAUCCAGCCAUGCCGCGUGAAGGAUGAAGGCGCUACGCGUUGUAAACUUCUUUUCUCUUAGAAAAAGCUACUGGUUUCGUACCGGUACUGAUUGUACAAGAGGAAUAAGCAUCGGCUAACUACGUG